Long non-coding RNA from Anolis carolinensis (green anole), 3742 nucleotides. The record is from Ensembl. Lineage: Eukaryota; Metazoa; Chordata; Lepidosauria; Squamata; Anolidae.
AUGUCAUGGAAUUCUUGUGGGUGGCUUCUCUCAUGUGUUGUGCCCUGCUCAAGACAUAAGGAAAGAUCUCAAGGUGCCUGGAGAUUUCCACUAAGGAUCCACUCAAGAUACAGAUGUUGUAGGCCUUCCGCCAACCCGACUCACGGGGCGAUGGUUAGCACGGGGCAAUUCCCAAGCAGCAAACCAGCAAGACCGUCUCCCGGUCUGAUAAAGCGGCUGCCGGCAGUGGGGCAGAUCAGGUCGUCCGGGCAAAGCGGAAGAUGGUGACGUGCUGAUGGUGGUAAGGCAUGCUUUGCCCAUAAGAGCCUUUCAGCUUCACCAUAGCUAAGAAACUGUCUCUUAUUAAUACCUUCCUCACAAAGGGGAAGAUAAAUAGGCUGAUUCUUUAGCUCUCUGUCAAUGACACAUCUUCAGAAAUCCACUGCUCAGUUAAGGGAAUGUGUGCAACCUUCUAAAAAAGAAACAACUAUUUUUGUUUGUUUGCAUGUUUGUUUGUUUUUGUUUGUGGAAAAAAACAUGAAUUUUAACCAUAUUUUAUAACCCCGGGUAAAUUAACAGAUGCACUCUUGGUUAAGUUAAGCUGCACAACCGGAACUCUCAAACAACCGGUACAAAAAAAAAAAUCAAAGAAAUAAUACUGCAUUCACCAAGUUGAAUAAUGCAAUAAACUGUGCUACAUUAAAUUAAGUUUGUCUUAAUUUGCCUUUAAUUAUUGUAUUAAUGCAGCUUGACACCACUUGAUCUGCCACAGCCCAAUUCUAUAGAAUCAUUGGUGUCGUAGUUUGAUAAGGCCUUUAGCUUUCUCUGCCUAAGUAUGCUGCUGCCUCAGUAAACUACAAUUUGCAGGACCUCAUAACAAUUGAGCCAUGGACAAAAUUAAAGUAGGUGCACUCUGGACUCCACAAACAAUGGAUCUAGACAAAGUUGUAUACCACAAUAAAAUGGUGCUACAUUAAGAUUAUCUGGGAUUUGUUUUUAAUUACUGUAUUAAUGAAAUUUGACACCACUUGAUCUGCCAACGUUCAAUACUAUGGGAGUUGUAUUUUGACAAGACCUUUGGCUUUUUGUGUCGAAGUGUGCUGCUGCCUCAGUAAACUACAAUUCCCAGGAUUCCAUAACAUUCAGCCAUGAGCAGAAAACAAGUAGGUAUAAACUAUUGUUCUCCCAACUCUUAUUUGUUUCCAUGUAAAAUAGUAUCACAGAACUUAGUAAAGUUAAGGGCCCUCUGGUGGCGCAAUGGGUUAAAGCGCUGAACUGCAGACCGAAAGGUUGGCAGUUUGAAUCCAGGAAGUGGGUGAGUUCCCACUGUUAGCCACAGCUUCUACCAACCUAGUAGCUCGAAAACAUGCAAAUGUGAGCAGAUCAAUAGGUACUGUCUUGGCGGGAAGGUAAUGGAGCUCCAUGCAUUCAUGCUGGCCACAGGACCUUGGAGGUCUCUACGGACAACGCCGGCUCUUUGGCUUAGAAAUGGAGAUGAGCACCACCCUCCAGAGUCGGAUACAAUGAGACUUAAUGUCAGGGGGAAACCUUUACCUUUACCUUUUUUGUGAAGUUAAAAAUACAUUGGUGGCAGGAAAAAAAAUAGUUUGAUGUUCCUGGCAGUUUGAAUUAUAUAUGGGACUGACAAACACUCCUUGAAGAUCCCUUGCCAAAAGAAAAAAAAGUAUGACAAUGUUUAGUGUCAGAAGCGAACCGAGGGUACAGAUGUAAUAUAUUUAAAAAACACAAAGUUAAAAAACUUGGCAUUAUAGUAAAUGUCCUUUGACCAGUAGCUGGCCACUUGGAGUGCCUCUGGUGUUGCCAUCAGGUCUUCCCUUGUGAAUGUGGCAGGGCUCAGGCUGCCUUGUAGUAAGUGGUCUGUGGUGUGCUCUUCUCCACACUCGCAUGUCGUGGACUCCACUUCGAAGCCCCAUUUCUUAAGGCAUCUCGUGCUGCCAGAGCACAGUCUGUUCAGCGCCUUCCAAGUCGCCCAGUAUUCUGUGAAGCGAUUUGCAGCAGUGUGUCAAUUCAUUGGGUUUAUACAUUUUUAACAAACAUGAACUGAGGGAAAAAACCCAUAUGCAAAGAAUACUCUGAAGUUAACAAACAAGAGAUCUGGGCCGAGUUGUAUAACUCUGGAGGUUGGUACUCAUCUCCAUUUCUAAGCCAAAGAGCCAGAGUUGUCCAUAGACACCUCCAAGGUCAUGUGGCCGGCAUGACUGCAUGGAGCACCAUUACCUUCUCACCUAUUGAUCUAUUCACAUUUGCAUGUUUUCAAACUGCUAGGUUGGCAGAAGCUGGAGCUAACAGUGGGCGCUCACUCCACCUCCCGGAUUCGAACCUGCAACCUUUCGGUCUGCAAGUUCAGCAACUCAGCGCUUUAACACACUGUGCCACCAGGGGCUCCAGGCAGAUAAAAAGUAAAUGCAACCAAUUUUUUCCAACUGGAAUUGUUUCCAUGUAAAACAAUAUGACAGAACCCAAUAUCAACAACCCAAUAUAACAGAACUUAGUGUGGUUCAAAAUAUUUUUUAUGUAUUUAUUUACUACAAUUAUAUCCUGCCCAUCUCACCCGGAAGAGGACUCAGAGAGGCUUACAAAUUAUAUGUACAUACAAUAUAUUGUAUUAUUAGCAUAGCACAAUAUUAGCAUUAUAUUUUGCUAUAUUGUAUUAUACCACUAUAUUGUAAUAUUAUUAGUAAUAUUACAUGUAAUAUAUUAUUAUUAUAUUGUAUAAUUAUUAGUAUUGUAUUGUAUUACAUUGUAAUAUUAUUAUCAAUAUUAUAUGUAUAUACAUAUAAUACAGUAGAGUCUCACUUAUCCAACAUAAACGGGCCAGCAGAACAUUGGAUAAGCGAAUAUGUUGGAUAAUAAGAAGGGAUUAAGGAAAAGCCUAUUAAACAUCAAAUUAGGUUAUGAUUUUACAAAUUAAGCACCAAAACAUCAUGUUAUACAACAAAUUUGACAGAAAAAGUAGUUCAAUAUUCAGUAAUGCUAUGUAGUAAUUACUGUAUUUACGAUUUUAGCACCAAAAUAUCACGAUAUAUUGAAAACAUGUGUUGGAUAAUCCAGAACGUUGGAUAAGUAAGACUCUACUGUACAUUGGUUGCAGAAAGAAAAAUAGGUUCAAUGUUCAGUUUGAAUUAUGUAUGGGACUGGGGAAAAUUCCUUGAGCAUGCAUUGCUCAAAAAAAAAAAAAAAGAUGACAAUUUAUUGAGUUGCUGAUAGGCAAGGCAAGAACCGGUGCCCUUUGAGACCGCCUCGGAAACCUCAGCGUGCGGCGACCGGGUUUCUUUUGCAUACAGCCCAUGAGCCAUCGCGCGAGGACUUCCGACUCGAUUUAACAGAGGAAAUCGUAAGGUAAGUCCUUAGAAAAAAUAAAUUUUUAAAUAGCGUUAUGAUUCUUGUUGUUUCUUCGGAGCAAGGCAUACGAUCGGAGCGGAAGCUUUGGGUAGACGUCAUAACGUAAAAGCAGGUCGCCUAUGAUGUCGGUUCGUGGUGGGGCCUGUGUUUGUUGCUGUGAGUUUUCCGGGUUGUAGAAGAUUUUUGGCCGUUCCGGAAUUAAACCCGCGGACGGGGGAGUCAACACUCCCCUUAGUUCGCAAUUUUUGGAGGCCUUUCGCUAGGCCAAUCACGUAGUCUAAGAACAGAAUAAGUAGGAGGUAAAGUAGUUGCUGUUAAGUUCCUUGUGUGUAAAUACAAGGAUGGGCCAAGUUGGUUCUUCCGGGCGUUUUGGACUUCAACUCCCAGCAUUCCUGGCAGC